UACGGAGGGGGCAAGCGUUACUCGGAAUUACUGGGCGUAAAGGGCUCGUAGGCGGCCAACUAAGUCAGACGUGAAAUCCCUCGGCUUAACCGGGGAACUGCGUCUGAUACUGGUUGGCUUGAAUCCGGGAGAGGGAUGUGGAAUUCCAGGUGUAGCGGUGAAAUGCGUAGAUAUCUGGAGGAACACCGGUGGCGAAGGCGGCAUCCUGGACCGGUAUUGACGCUGAGGAGCGAAAGCGUGGGGAUCAAACAGG
This 253-nucleotide ribosomal RNA is filed under the name uncultured bacterium. RNAcentral's name for it is "partial 16S ribosomal RNA". It matches the Rfam family "Bacterial small subunit ribosomal RNA", at positions 524 to 776 of the family's 1533-position model. The record is from RNAcentral.